Molecule: ribosomal RNA, 500 nt
Filed under: uncultured bacterium
Lineage: Bacteria
Description: partial 16S ribosomal RNA
Rfam family: Bacterial small subunit ribosomal RNA
Source: RNAcentral
AUUGAACGCUGGCGGCAGGCUUAACACAUGCAAGUCGAGCGGGGGAAGGUAGCUUGCUACCGGACCUAGCGGCGGACGGGUGAGUAAUGCUUAGGAAUCUGCCUAUUAGUGGGGGACAACAUCUCGAAAGGGAUGCUAAUACCGCAUACGUCCUACGGGAGAAAGCAGGGGAUCUUCGGACCUUGCGCUAAUAGAUGAGCCUAAGUCGGAUUAGCUAGUUGGUGGGGUAAAGGCCUACCAAGGCGACGAUCUGUAGCGGGUCUGAGAGGAUGAUCCGCCACACUGGGACUGAGACACGGCCCAGACUCCUACGGGAGGCAGCAGUGGGGAAUAUUGGACAAUGGGGGGAACCCUGAUCCAGCCAUGCCGCGUGUGUGAAGAAGGCCUUAUGGUUGUAAAGCACUUUAAGCGAGGAGGAGGCUACUUUAGUUAAUACCUAGUGAUAGUGGACGUUACUCGCAGAAUAAGCACCGGCUAACUCUGUGCCAGCAGCCGCAGAA